Molecule: ribosomal RNA, 330 nt
Filed under: uncultured eukaryote
Lineage: Eukaryota
Description: partial 18S ribosomal RNA
Rfam family: Eukaryotic small subunit ribosomal RNA
Source: RNAcentral
CCCUUAGAUGUUCUGGGCCGCACGCGUGCUACACUGAUGCAUUCAACGAGUCUAAAACCUGGUCUGAUAGGGCUGGGUAAUCUUUUGAAAGUGCAUCGUGAUUGGGAUAGAUGAUUGCAAUUCUUCAUCUUCAACGAGGAAUGCCUAGUAAACGCAAGUCAUCAGCUUGCAUUGAUUACGUCCCUGCCCUUUGUACACACCGCCCGUCGCUCCUACCGAUUGAAUGAUCCGAUGAAUACCAUGGAUUGAGAGUACGAAUAGGUUCGCUUAUUCCUGCUGCUCGAGAAGUGGAGUAAAUCUUAUCAUUUAGAGGAAGGAGAAGUCGUAACA